RNAcentral lists this transfer RNA (70 nucleotides) under Xenotoca variata (jeweled splitfin). RNAcentral's name for it is "tRNA-Ile". It matches the Rfam family "tRNA". Rfam says of the family: Transfer RNA (tRNA) molecules are approximately 80 nucleotides in length. Their secondary structure includes four short double-helical elements and three loops (D, anti-codon, and T loops). Lineage: Eukaryota; Metazoa; Chordata; Actinopteri; Cyprinodontiformes; Goodeidae. The record is from RNAcentral.
GGAGCCGUGCCUGAAAUAAAGGGCCACUUUGAUAGAGUGCCUUAUGAGAGUUAAAGUCCCUCCGCCUCCA